This is a long non-coding RNA of Malus domestica (apple), 1136 nucleotides long. RefSeq lists it as uncharacterized. The record is from RefSeq and is a predicted model, not a curated record. NCBI's taxonomy places the organism in Eukaryota, Viridiplantae, Streptophyta, Magnoliopsida, Rosales, Rosaceae.
CUAUAUCAGAAAAUGCUUUCUUUUUUCUUCAAAAACCCUAAGAUUGGAGCAUAAUAUUCUCACGUUGUUAAAGUUGGAGAAUUUAGCUAAUUGGCAUGUGGGAAUGACCGAAAGUCUUUCAUUUGGACAAGGGCUUUAUAACUGAGAUCAGACCGUGCCAAUUACAUGGGAUUUCAAGGUUAGUUUGCAACUUGUGAAGAUUAUUAACGACUUGCAGAGGUUUGAAUUAAUAUUUUAAGUCUUAAACUACAUACUAGGUUUGAUAAGUUUAAUUGAUUAGUAACUUGGUUUAUGUGAUAUUUUAUUUGAGGAUCAUUUGGAUAUAUUGAUUUGGAUUAACUAGUGAAUCAUGUGAGGUGGUAAUGGUGCUCAAGAGUUUGGUGAACAACGUUUGGACAAUGGUGAGAAAGUAAAAGCUAAGCUCAGAAUUCAGAUGAGUUUUUUGGCAACACUGGUGAUAGACGAACUGAGGUUGUGUUAGACGAGGGAUCUAAGAGUGUUAAUUUCUUAUUUUUGUACACCUUGUUCGAGUUUUCAUUGCUGAACCGGGUUCGGGGCGUGACACAUUCACCUCUGGAUGACCCACCCGCUUGGCCUUUAUUGUCACCCCAUCAACCUCUUUCGAGACCUCAUCUUUAAGGUAAGUAAUAAAAGAGUCACACUCAAAGGCCAUCUUAGAGAACACUUCUUUAAACUUGAAAGCAUUAUUAAGCAUUUCAUAGGUGGCAUUCCACCUUGUGACGACAUCAAAAGGGAUACUUGACAUCCUAUCAAGUCUCAACAAGACACAGUAUUCCCUAAAAGACUUCAACCUUGUCGGGGAUGAGUGUAUAAACUUCACACAAUUUCUUAUGGCAUCAAUCUCUCACAAAUAAGAUCUGCCAUUCCAUCCUUAACUAUUAAAUUGAGGAUGUGACAAGUGCACCUCAUGUGCAAGUGAGCCAUGUCGAGUAAAAGAGUACCAUUUGACUUGAGUCUUCUUUUCAUGUAUGCAAUAGUGGUGUCAUUUGCACUACCAUUGUCAACGGUAAUGCUAAACACCUUGUCUAUGCCCCAAUCAUUCAAGCAAACCUCUAGACAUCUUCCAAUGUCAUCACCCUUGUGAGAAGUAACUUGGACAAAGUUUAGGAUCCUCU